Molecule: non-coding RNA, 24 nt
Filed under: Arabidopsis thaliana (thale cress)
Lineage: Eukaryota; Viridiplantae; Streptophyta; Magnoliopsida; Brassicales; Brassicaceae
Source: RNAcentral
AAGCUUGUGCCUGCGUUGCAACAA